Molecule: transfer RNA, 68 nt
Filed under: Architeuthis dux (giant squid)
Lineage: Eukaryota; Metazoa; Mollusca; Cephalopoda; Oegopsida; Architeuthidae
Description: tRNA-Trp
Source: RNAcentral
AAGGUUUUAAGUUAAUUUAAACUGGAGGCUUUCAAGGUCUUUAAUAAAUAUAUGUUGUUUAAAUCUUG